RNAcentral lists this long non-coding RNA (332 nucleotides) under Elaeis guineensis (African oil palm). RNAcentral's name for it is "long non-coding RNA (EGUI_LNC014261)". Lineage: Eukaryota; Viridiplantae; Streptophyta; Magnoliopsida; Arecales; Arecaceae. The record is from RNAcentral.
UGGGCUUCAAUGAGAGGACCGAUACCCAUAGGAAGCUAAAGGAGUGGGAGUGGUGCCUUCGCUCCUGCUCCAUGGAGGAGGAAGGCUCGGCCUUGCCAAGGCUACAUAGUCACCCGACAAACGAGUCUCUAUCAUUUGCUACUUCUACAUUUGGGUAGUUGCUUGUUGCAAGCACUGCCCUAAUGUGAUCAGUAUCUGAACCUACUAUAGGAGCUGGAACUACUCGGUGAUGACCAUUGGAGCUAUAUGUGCCUCUAAAGAAGGUAAAGCUCUUUGAGGUCUCUAGAUAGAGCUAUUGGAAUCUACAUGGACAUUGGGAUGAGCAGUGGAUG